RNAcentral lists this unclassified non-coding RNA (348 nucleotides) under soil metagenome. RNAcentral describes it as "partial contains 5.8S ribosomal RNA, internal transcribed spacer 2, and large subunit ribosomal RNA". The stretch from base 1 to 120 matches the Rfam family "5.8S ribosomal RNA", at positions 35 to 154 of the family's 154-position model. The record is from RNAcentral.
GAUGAAGAACGCAGCGAAAUGCGAUAAGUAGUGUGAAUUGCAGAAUUUAGUGAAUCAUCGAAUCUUUGAACGCACAUUGCGCCCGCUGGAACUCCGGCGGGCACGCCUGUCCGAGCGUCAUUUCAACCCUCAGGCCCCCCUUCGCGGGCGGGCCUGGUGUUGGGGCCCGGCCGCUACCCUGCGGCCGUCCCCUAAAUCCAGUGGCGGCCUCGCCGUGAUCCCUUGCGUAGUAAUGCACCUCGCACCGGAGAGCGCCGUGGCCACGCCGUAAAACCCCCAAUUUUCAAUGGUUGACCUCGGAUCAGGUGGGAAUACCCGCUGAACUUAAGCAUAUCAAUAAGCGGAGGA